Saccostrea cuccullata (small rock oyster) is the source of this 345-nucleotide long non-coding RNA. RefSeq lists it as uncharacterized. The transcript has 3 exons. The record is from RefSeq and is a predicted model, not a curated record. NCBI's taxonomy places the organism in Eukaryota, Metazoa, Mollusca, Bivalvia, Ostreida, Ostreidae.
CCAGACACAGAUGUUCCUGAGUAUGAGGAGGAAAAGGAGGAGGAGGAAGACACAGAUGAAUAUACAUGUAGUUCAUCAGCGAGUGACGAAGAAGAACCUGAGAGAAAUGGUGGAAAUGUCUUUCACUUGCAAGGGCGACACAUCAUAGACAUUAAUUUUUUAAACCAAGAGCUGGGUAAAGGAUGCCAUUCAUGCAGGGAACCUUUACAGUUGUCUUCUUGCAUAUGAGAUACCAGAUAUGGACUAGGUAGUUUACUUCACAUGAAAUGUGUACACUAUCUAAAUGUUACACUUGUCCCCACUGGGAAAAGGCAUGGCCAAAAUGUAUGGGAUGUGAAUUCCCAA